AUCAAGGCAACACUCCAGGUUUGUUUUGAUGAGGGAAUAACUGCAACAUGAUGGAAAAAUUAAAAAGUUGAUUUUAGAUGAUACUGUAACUUUGAUUAGUGGCUUUAAAACGGUUUGCUGGUUCAAACAGCAACAACAGGUUUCAUGCAGGGAAACUAUUGUGUCCUUCUGAGACUCAACAAGGACAAUAAAGGUUAUUUAAUUUCCCUUUGCAACCAAUAAAGUCAUUUUUAAAUUAAAUUUGAAAUGUUGCAGUUUCACCAACUCAAAUUUAAGACUUUUUAAUUUCAUUGGGAAUGAAAUUUAAGACUUGUACAAAAGAUGAUAAACUGCUGAUAAAUUUGCACGUACCCAUUACAUACUUGAAAAAGCUUGCUAGCUGGCUAGCUAGCCCCAAAAGGUAUAUUAGCAGCUAGUUAGCUUUAGCCACAGAAUGCAAUGAAGAUGUCCGCAUACAACUCAAACUUUAGCCUGACAGAAAAAUCCUCAAAAAUAAAAAAAACUAUCUAUGAGAUAAAUAGGCUUUAGAGAGCUGUGGUUCCGGUCUGGAAGUCUGCCCCCUACUGGGCAGAGUGUUUAUAUCUCCGGGUUUUCCGUUUGUUGUAAACAGAAAUACGAAAAACUUGUUCACCCAAUUUUUGUAUUUAAAAAGCAAAAAAGAUGAAUGAUUCAUAAAGAUUCCUCUGUGAUCAAAGUUCAAAUUAUUGAAGUUUGAAGGAAAUUUCCACUUCAGCAUGAAACCUUCCUAUCGGCCGAUUCCGAUAAUCAGCAGAGCAAUCGGUGCAUCCC
Long non-coding RNA from Poecilia latipinna (sailfin molly), 789 nucleotides. RefSeq lists it as uncharacterized. Lineage: Eukaryota; Metazoa; Chordata; Actinopteri; Cyprinodontiformes; Poeciliidae. The transcript is spliced from 2 exons. The record is from RefSeq and is a predicted model, not a curated record.